CCCUUUUUUAUAUUUUGGGUUUUAUUCAGAGAUUACUGAAAUGCUUCCUGGAAUUUUGAACCAGUUGGGUGCUGAAAGCCUCACUCACCUGAAGAGAUUAGCAGAUAUACACAGUGCAGCUGCCGGAAGUGGUGACCAUGGAGUAACUACAGGAAUAGAUGAUGAUGACGAAGUACCGGAUCUUGUGGAAGACUUUGAUGAAGCUCUGAAAUCUGAAGCUGUGUAAUAACAAUAAAGAUGAAGAUGAGAAACAAUGAAAUUGUGUUCAGUCAUUUAAAGUGACUUUUUCAUUUUACAGUAUGUAAUUGUAAUAUGUAAAUCAAAUGUUUACUGUGGGAUAAUUAUGGUACACUUAGCUUUGCACAUUUUCUAGUGACUCGCUUCAAAAUACAUCUCAUUAGUAAUCAAGGAAUUAUUUUAAUUAAUAACAGUGAAGAGUAAAUAAAGUUAUUUGUAGUAUCA
Molecule: long non-coding RNA, 462 nt
Organism: Limulus polyphemus (Atlantic horseshoe crab)
Lineage: Eukaryota; Metazoa; Arthropoda; Merostomata; Xiphosura; Limulidae
Exons: 3
Source: RefSeq, a predicted model, not a curated record